Molecule: long non-coding RNA, 838 nt
Filed under: Sorghum bicolor (sorghum)
Lineage: Eukaryota; Viridiplantae; Streptophyta; Magnoliopsida; Poales; Poaceae
Description: long non-coding RNA (SBIC_LNC002767)
Source: RNAcentral
GAGAAGGAUAAAUAGUUCAAACACCUUUAAUAUUCUAUCCAUUAUUUUUUUGGUUUUUAUAUAUAAAAAUAGGAAUAAAAAAGAGAAAAACAAAAGUCACAUAGAGAACCAGAAAGAGGAACUGGAAUUGGACACUUGAGUAUGAAUGUUUUUAACGGUAAACAUUUCCAUAUCUCACAGACGGUGAUUUUUCUUUUUUCCGGAAAACGUUCUUUCUCAUAGAGAAACAUGGACGCAAUUUUUGAUAGAGUUUGAUUAGGAGAAGUCUGAUUUUAGAGAGGAUUUUUUUCUUUCUUUUUGUCUCGUGUCCGAUCUCCAUCAUUAUUAUCGAAUCAAGUCUCCACCGAGGAUAUAGAUUGGCGGACAGAAUUUACGGUGAACUAAAAUUUUAAUGAUGUUAUGGCACAUAGAAAUCGAUCUUGGCCCUUGGGAAGGAAAAUGAGCAUGCAAACCAUGAGAACAAGCAUGCUUUUUAGAUUAUUUGAGCCUUCUAAUAUUUUAAAAAGAACAAAAUAGCGAAAUAAGAGUAGUGCAUAUAUGGAAUUGGACCUCAAACCUUAUUUUUAAAGAAACCGAGCAAAGAGACCAUCAGAACAAGCUGCUUUUGUGUUAUUUUGGGAUCUUUUGUUCAUCUAACAUUUUAUUCAUUUUUAACAAAAAAAAGAAAAAUGUGUUAUUUGGGGAUCUUUUGUCCAUCUAACACGUUUAGAUAUUAGGUAAAGAUAACAUUUUAUUUAUUUUUAACCAAAAAAAUGAAAAUAGCAUUGAUAGGGAUCGAACCCAAAACCUACUGAAUGAGAAGAACAAGUCGUAACACCGCACCACUAUUUUUGGUAUA